This 499-nucleotide ribosomal RNA is filed under the name uncultured bacterium. RNAcentral describes it as "bacterial SSU rRNA". It matches the Rfam family "Bacterial small subunit ribosomal RNA", at positions 899 to 1397 of the family's 1533-position model. The record is from RNAcentral.
ACUCAAAGGAAUUGACGGGGGCCCGCACAAGCGGUGGAGCAUGUGGUUUAAUUCGACGCAACGCGAAGAACCUUACCAGGUUUUGACAUCCUUUGAUCGCUGUGGAAACACAGAAUUUUCUUCGGAAACAAAGAGACAGGUGGUGCAUGGUUGUCGUCAGCUCGUGUCGUGAGAUGUUGGGUUAAGUCCCGCAACGAGCGCAACCCUUAUAUUUAGUUGCUAUCAGGUAAAGCUGAGCACUCUAGAUAGACUGCCGGUGACAAACCGGAGGAAGGUGGGGAUGACGUCAAAUCAUCAUGCCCCUUAUAACCUGGGCUACACACGUGCUACAAUGGUCGUUACAGAGGGCAGCAAAGCUGCGAAGCGGAGCAAAUCCCAAAAAGACGAUCACAGUUCGGAUUGCAGGCUGCAACUCGCCUGCAUGAAGUCGGAAUCGCUAGUAAUCGCAGGUCAGCAUACUGCGGUGAAUACGUUCCCGGGCCUUGUACACACCGCCCGU